RNA transcript from Neocloeon triangulifer, 1199 nucleotides. It is a transcript of the gene named DNA repair protein RAD51 homolog 3, with no coding region annotated. The record is from RefSeq and is a predicted model, not a curated record. NCBI's taxonomy places the organism in Eukaryota, Metazoa, Arthropoda, Insecta, Ephemeroptera, Baetidae. The transcript has 8 exons.
AGCAAAACAAAAAACAUGUGUGGCUGAACCCGCUGAGCGUCGUCGUGACAAGAGACGAACAACUACUUGUUGAUUUGGAAAUUUCAUUAAUUUAAUUUAAAAAAAUUCACAUUUAAUAAUUAUUUAUCGAAAUGAACGGUGAACCCGUCGAUUUCCUUUCUAUUUCCGACGCUGCGAAAGUAAAACUUAAGGACGCCGGAGCCGUUCUCGUUCAAAACGUUCUGGGUGAUCGAGUGUCGUUCGAAGCGAUCCCGACCUCCGAGCACCGAGACGAUGAAAUUUACCUCAAACAACUUAAAACGCCGAUCCCUGUGAUCUCUUGUUUUGAUCUGCUGCAGAAGCAAGGUGAACGGUUAAAAAGUGGAUCUGAGAAGCUCGACGAGUUAUUGGACGGAGGAUUCAAACCUGGGUCUCUGACGGAAAUAUCUGGCUUGCCUGGAUCUGGGAAAACUCAAUUUUGUCUACAACUUUGUGCUGUUUGCCAGAGACCAGAAAAUUUUGGUGGCCGUCCAGGUCAAGCUUUGUUCGUCGACUUAAACUUUGGCUUUUCCAAGUCUCGCUAUGAAGGAAUAAGAAAAUAUUUUAUCGAUCAGGAAAAAGAAUUGGAUCCAAUUAUUUUACGCAUUUCAACAACCAAUCAAUUAUUGGCAGCAAUUGAGUCUUUUCCGGAUAUUUUGCUGAACAAUGAUAAAAUAAGACUGAUUAUAAUUGACUCGUUCAGUCGACCGUUCAUGUUUGAUCAAGUUUCCUCGACUCUGAUGUCAGGAAUUAUGAUGGACUUGCACUCUGUGGCAGAGGAUUUUGAUUUAGUAUCAGUUAAUUACCAACUUGAGCAGCGAUCAAGAGGAGGCAAUAAAACAUCAACCAGCGCUACGCAGUGGUUACUUGUAUUAUAUCAACGAAAGGAUUAUGUUUUACGGAUCUCAUGAAAAACGAGAAAUUAUAUUUCCUGACAAGCUGGAUGGUGUUGCUGCAAUUUAUGAGAUCUCAAACAGUGGGUUUGUGUUAAAAUAAAGUACACUUUCUUAAAUAAAUUAUGAAUAUUUUUGUAGUUUCGCCACAUUAAUUCAAAUAUAUGCUUUGGUUUGAUUAGAUCUUAAUUAAAAAAUUGGCUUCAUGCUGCAGUCGUAAUUUCAUCAAUAAAUUAAUCAUUUCUUUUUCCGAUGUAUUACGAUAUUUUUUGAUACAAAUUAAAUUAA